RNAcentral lists this ribosomal RNA (428 nucleotides) under Mammaliicoccus lentus. RNAcentral's name for it is "bacterial SSU rRNA". It matches the Rfam family "Bacterial small subunit ribosomal RNA", at positions 91 to 505 of the family's 1533-position model. The record is from RNAcentral. Lineage: Bacteria; Bacillati; Bacillota; Bacilli; Caryophanales; Staphylococcaceae.
GUUAGCGGCGGACGGGUGAGUAACACGUGGGUAACCUACCUAUAAGACUGGGAUAACUCCGGGAAACCGGGGCUAAUACCGGAUAAUAUAUUGAACCGCAUGGUUCAAUGUUGAAAGACGGUUUCGGCUGUCACUUAUAGAUGGACCCGCGCCGUAUUAGCUAGUUGGUAAGGUAACGGCUUACCAAGGCAACGAUACGUAGCCGACCUGAGAGGGUGAUCGGCCACACUGGAACUGAGACACGGUCCAGACUCCUACGGGAGGCAGCAGUAGGGAAUCUUCCGCAAUGGGCGAAAGCCUGACGGAGCAACGCCGCGUGAGUGAUGAAGGUCUUAGGAUCGUAAAACUCUGUUGUUAGGGAAGAACAAAUUUGUUAGUAACUGAACAAGUCUUGACGGUACCUAACCAGAAAGCCACGGCAAAGUAGU